CAUACGCUGUGUAUGCCAACCAGUGGAUGGCUUGGCUCAAGCGCUGAAGAAGGACGUGCCAAGCUGCGAUAAGCCUCGGCGAGGUGCAUGGAACCGUCGAACCGAGGAUAUCCUAAUGGGAACUCCCAGCCUUAGGGCUGAUCCUUAAGGAUCGGGAACGCCCCGGAUUGAAACAUCUUAGUAGGGGCAGGAAGAGAAAUCAAAUCGAGAUGCCGUCAGUAACGGCGAGUGAACGCGGCAGAGCCCAAACCGAAUCCCUUCGGGGAGAUGUGGUGUUAUAAGCCUGGCUCAUUACAGUUCUCUCUUGCGAAGUUGAAGUUGCCUGGAACGGCACGCCAAAGAGUGUGAUAGCCACGUAAAUAUAAGCAGAUAGGGCUGGAGCCUUGUCUUGAGUACCGUGGGUCGGAUAUCUCGCGGAAAUUUGGGAGACACCAACUUCCAAGGCUAAAUACGUCUUGAGACCGAUAGCGCAGUAGUAGGGUGACCGAAAGCUGAAAAGUACCCCAUAGAGGGCGGUGCAAAGUGCCUGAAAUUGGUUGGUGAUGGAGCGAUGUGGCGUCAAAGGAUACUCAGCACGAAGGAAAACGUCGCGAGGCGUCGGUACGAGUGCUGAAUGCCAGCGUCACAUCUUACGUUUUGAAGAACGGGCCAGGGAGUGCAUUUGAGUGGCGAGGCUAAUCCGUUCAACGGAGAAGCCGGAGCGAAAGCGACAAGCGCGCAUCUUCGGAAAGGCGCGACGUAUACAAGUGCGUGGAGUCACUUGGAUGCUACCCGAAGCCGGGCGAUCUAGGCGUGGGCAGGUUGAAGCGUGGCGAAAGCUGCGUGGAGGACCGUUAGCGGUGUUGAUAUGCAAAUCACUCGCGUGACCUGUGUCUAGGGGUGAAAGUCCAAUCGAGCCCGGGAAUAGCUGGUUCCUUCCGAAACAUGUCGCAGCAUGACCUGACUGGAGGCCGUCGGCGGAGUAGAGCACUGAUUGGGGAAUCCGGGAAAGAAAUUUUUCGCUCUCUUGUCAAACUCCCAAACCGUCGUCGCCUGAGAAGGUCGGAGUCCGGACUGGGGGGUAAGCUUCCAGUCCGUAAGGGAAACAACCCAGACCGUGGUUAAGGCCCCAAAAUGUCGGCUAAGUGUUAACACUAAAGGGAGUCCUAGGCCCCAGACAACUGGAAGGUUAGCUUAGAAGCAGCUAUCCUUUAAAGAGUGCGUAACAGCUCACCAGUCGAGGUUUAGGGCCCCGAAAAUGGACGGGGCUAAGCCGACUGCCGAUACCACGGAGCACCGAAAGGUGAUCUCGUAGGAAGGCGUUGUGCGUGGGCAGAAGCGCCUCCGUGAGGAGGUGUGGACCACGUGGAAACGAAAAUCCUGGCAGUAGUAGCAGCAAAGUCGGGUGAAAAUCCCGAUCGCCGAAUGGGCUAGGUUUCCUCGGCAAUGUUCGUCAGCCGAGGGUCAGUCGGUCCUAAGAUAUGCCGCAACUCGAGCAUGUCAAAAGGGAAACAGGUUAAUAUUCCUGUACCAUUCAACAAUAAAACUGACGCUUCUGGGUAGGCUGAGCACCUUUGCCAGGGUGUUCAAGCGCCGAAACCUGCGGAGAGCCGUAAUGGCGAGAAGCAGGCGAAUGCGUGAUGACGUAAGUCAGCUCGCCCCAGGAGCCCGUGAAAAGGGAGUUGAAUGGCCGUACCGAGAACCAACACAGGUGUCCCAAGCUGAGAAGGCUAAGGCGUGUCAGGUUAAUCUGGCUAAGGGAAUUCGGCAAAUUAGCCUCGUAACUUCGGGAGAAGAGGUGCCUGCUUUGAAGAAAGCAGGUCGCAGUGACUAGGGAGCUCUAACUGUCUAAUAACAACAUAGGAGAUUGCAAACCCGAAAGGGCUAGUACAAUCUCUGAGUCCUGCCCAGUGCAGGUACCUGAAGACCCGGUUCAACGGGAAGAAGGGCCUGUCAACGGCGGGGGUAACUAUGACCCUCUUAAGGUAGCGUAGUACCUUGCCGCUUAAUUGGCGGCUUGCAUGAAUGGAACAAUGAGAGCUCUACUGUCCCUAGCCAGAACCUGGUGAAACUUUCCUCCUAGUGCAGAGACUAGGGACCCCUAAUGGGAAGUGAAGACCCCGUGGAGCUUUACUGCAGCCUGUUGUUGGGUUGUGGUUUCGGAUGUAGAGGAUAGGUAGGAGGCGUAGAAGCCCGGGCGCCAGCUCGGGUGGAGCCGACCUUGGAAUACUACCCUUCUGUGGCUACGACCCUAACUCCGAGAGGAGGACACCAAUAGGUGGGCAGUUUGGGUGGGGCGCCACGCCCUAGAAAAGAUAUCUAGGGCGCCCUAAGGUUGACUCAAUUGGGUCGGAAACCCAAUGAAGAGUGCAAAAGCAUAAGUCAGCCUGACGUCAUCUCGCAAAGCAAGAGACGACGAGACGAAAGUCGGGUUUAGCGAACCUCUAUACCUCCUUGGUGGGGGUUUUAGAUGACAGAAAAGCUACCCCGGGGAUAACAGAGUCGUCACCGGCAAGAGCACACAUCGACCCGGUGGCUUGCUACCUCGAUGUCGGUUCUUUCCAUCCUGGCCGUGCAGCAGCGGCCAAGGGUGAGGUUGUUCGCCUAUUAAAGGAGAUCGUGAGCUGGGUUUAGACCGUCGUGAGACAGGUCGGUUACUAUCUAUUAGGGGUGUUUUGUGGUCUGAGGGUAAGCUGGUUUUAGUACGAGAGGAACAAGCCAGCGGCGCCACUGGUCGAUCGGUUGUCUGGCAAGGCACUGCCGAGCAGCUACGCGCUAACGGAUAAGGGCUGAAAGCAUCUAAGCCCGAAGCUGUGCCUGAAAAGAGACCACUCUGAGGACCCUCGUAAAAGACGAGUUUGAUAGAGUCGGGGUGUACGCACCGAGGCAACGAGGUGUUCAGCCCGCGACUACUAAAAGUCCGCUCAGCAGUCC
This is a ribosomal RNA of 2913 nucleotides. It matches the Rfam family "Archaeal large subunit ribosomal RNA". The record is from Rfam.